UACGUAGGGUGCGAGCGUUGUCCGGAUUUAUUGGGCGUAAAGAGCUCGUAGGCGGCUUAGCAAGUCGGGUGUGAAAACUCCAGGCUCAACCUGGAGACGCCACUCGAGACUGCUAUGGCUAGAGUCCGGUAGGGGACCACGGAAUUCCUGGUGUAGCGGUGAAAUGCGCAGAUAUCAGGAGGAACACCGAUGGCGAAGGCAGGUCACUGGGCCGCAACUGACGCUGAGGAGCGAAAGCAUGGGGAGCGAACAGG
Molecule: ribosomal RNA, 254 nt
Filed under: uncultured bacterium
Lineage: Bacteria
Description: partial 16S ribosomal RNA
Rfam family: Bacterial small subunit ribosomal RNA
Source: RNAcentral